AGUUGCUCCGGCGGCGCUCGGGGAGGGAGCCAGCAGCCUGGGGCCCAGGCCCGGGCCACCAUGGCGCUGCCUUCGGGCCCAGCCGCCCUCCGGCACACACUGCUGCUCCUGCCAGCCCUUCUGAGCUCAGGUUGUGGGGAGUUGGAGCCACAAAUAGAUGGUCAGACCUGGGCUGAGCGGGCACUUCGGGAGAAUGAACGCCACGCCUUCACCUGCCGGGUGGCAGGGGGGCCUGGCACCCCCAGAUUGGCCUGGUAUCUGGAUGGACAGCUGCAGGAGGCCAACACCUCAAGACUGCUGAGCGUGGGAGGGGAGGCCUUCUCUGGAGGCACCAGCACCUUCACAGUCACAGCCCAUCGGGCUCAGCAUGAGCUCAACUGCUCCCUGCAGGACCCCAGCAGUGGCCGAUCAGCCAACGCCUCUGUCAUCCUCAAUGUGCAAUUCAAGCCAGAGAUUGCCCAAGUCGGUGCCAAGUACCAGGAAGCUCAGGGCCCAGGCCUCCUGGUUGUCCUGUUUGCCCUGGUGCGUGCCAACCCGCCUGCCAAUGUCACCUGGAUCGACCAGGAUGGGCCAGUGACUGUCAACACCUCUGACUUCCUGGUGCUGGAUGCGCAGAACUACCCCUGGCUCACCAACCAUACGGUGCAGCUGCAGCUCCGCAGCCUGGCACACAAUCUCUCGGUGGUGGCCACCAAUGACGUGGGUGUCACCAGUGCCUCGCUUCCAGCCCCAGGGCUUCUGGCUACCCGGGUGGAAGUGCCACUGCUGGGCAUUGUUGUGGCUGCUGGGCUUGCCCUGGGCACCCUCGUGGGGUUCAGCACCUUGGUGGCCUGCCUGGUCUGCAGAAAAGAGAAGAAAACCAAAGGUAGGCCAGGGACACUGGGGGCAGUGUGGAUGAGGUCAGGCUGAGCAGCAGCCAGGACAGCAAGUGCAGCU
RNAcentral lists this small RNA (936 nucleotides) under Pongo abelii (Sumatran orangutan). Its description in RNAcentral is "processed transcript". The record is from RNAcentral. Lineage: Eukaryota; Metazoa; Chordata; Mammalia; Primates; Hominidae.